This 665-nucleotide ribosomal RNA is filed under the name Nocardia sp. RNAcentral describes it as "bacterial SSU rRNA". It matches the Rfam family "Bacterial small subunit ribosomal RNA", at positions 106 to 785 of the family's 1533-position model. The record is from RNAcentral. Lineage: Bacteria; Bacillati; Actinomycetota; Actinomycetes; Mycobacteriales; Nocardiaceae.
GUGAGUAACACGUGGGUGAUCUGCCCUGUACUUCGGGAUAAGCCUGGGAAACUGGGUCUAAUACCGGAUAUGACCCCGGACUGCAUGGCUUGGGGUGGAAAGAUUUAUCGGUACAGGAUGGGCCCGCGGCCUAUCAGCUUGUUGGUGGGGUAACGGCCUACCAAGGCGACGACGGGUAGCCGACCUGAGAGGGUGACCGGCCACACUGGGACUGAGACACGGCCCAGACUCCUACGGGAGGCAGCAGUGGGGAAUAUUGCACAAUGGGCGAAAGCCUGAUGCAGCGACGCCGCGUGGGGGAUGACGGCCUUCGGGUUGUAAACCCCUUUCGACAGGGACGAAGCGCAAGUGACGGUACCUGUAGAAGAAGCACCGGCCAACUACGUGCCAGCAGCCGCGGUAAUACGUAGGGUGCGAGCGUUGUCCGGAAUUACUGGGCGUAAAGAGCUUGUAGGCGGUCUGUCGCGUCUUCUGUGAAAACUUGGGGCUCAACCUUAAGCUUGCAGGGGAUACGGGCAGACUAGAGUACUUCAGGGGAGACUGGAAUUCCUGGUGUAGCGGUGAAAUGCGCAGAUAUCAGGAGGAACACCGGUGGCGAAGGCGGGUCUCUGGGAAGUAACUGACGCUGAGAAGCGAAAGCAUGGGUAGCAAACAGGAUUAGAUAC